This 384-nucleotide ribosomal RNA is filed under the name uncultured bacterium. RNAcentral's name for it is "bacterial SSU rRNA". It matches the Rfam family "Bacterial small subunit ribosomal RNA", at positions 29 to 414 of the family's 1533-position model. The record is from RNAcentral.
AUUGAACGCUGGCGGCAUGCUUUACACAUGCAAGUCGAACGGUAACAGGGAGCUUGCUCCGCUGACGAGUGGCGAACGGGUGAGUAAUGCAUCGGAACGUACCCAGUCGUGGGGGAUAACGUAGCGAAAGUUACGCUAAUACCGCAUACGUCCUGAGGGAGAAAGCGGGGGACCGAAAGGCCUCGCGCGAUUGGAGCGGCCGAUGUCGGAUUAGCUAGUUGGUGGGGUAAAGGCCUACCAAGGCGACGAUCCGUAGCGGGUCUGAGAGGAUGAUCCGCCACACUGGGACUGAGACACGGCCCAGACUCCUACGGGAGGCAGCAGUGGGGAAUUUUGGACAAUGGGGGCAACCCUGAUCCAGCCAUGCCGCGUGAGUGAAGAAGG